UGGGGAAUAUUGGACAAUGGGCGAAAGCCUGAUCCAGCCAUGCCGCGUGUGUGAAGAAGGUCUUCGGAUUGUAAAGCACUUUAAGUUGGGAGGAAGGGCAGUAAGCGAAUACCUUGCUGUUUUGACGUUACCGACAGAAUAAGCACCGGCUAACUCUGUGCCAGCAGCCGCGGUAAUACAGAGGGUGCAAGCGUUAAUCGGAAUUACUGGGCGUAAAGCGCGCGUAGGUGGUUCGUUAAGUUGAAUGUGUAAGCCCCGGGCUCAACCUGGGAACUGCAUCCGAAUCUGGCGAGCUGGAGUAGGGCAGAGGGUGGUGGAAUGUCCUGUGUAGCGGUGAAAUGCGUAGGUAUAGGAAGGAACGCCAGUGGCGAAGGCGACCACCUGGGCUCAUACUGACACUGAGGUGCGAAAGCGUGGGGAGCAAACAGG
Molecule: ribosomal RNA, 429 nt
Filed under: Pseudomonadota bacterium
Lineage: Bacteria; Pseudomonadati; Pseudomonadota
Description: Proteobacteria bacterium partial 16S ribosomal RNA
Rfam family: Bacterial small subunit ribosomal RNA
Source: RNAcentral